GAGUCGUCUCGCCGGACGCGGGGGCCCACCACAACCCCCAGCCUCUCUCCACUCUGCUUCGUCAUUUUGAGGCGCGUUGCCGGAGGUCCGCCGGAGAUUGGGAAGGCAUUGUAGAAGCGGGAGGAGAGAACCCCCUACAUAAGGAGGAUAGAGGGGCUAGAGCUCCGCGCGCAGUGACCACUAGGCGGAGGCGGAAGGGUGGCGUCCGGGGCCGUCGCUUCUCUGCGUGCCGCGUCCACGAAGCGACGGAUCGAACGGGAGGGACACCGCACGUCUGUGCAGCUCGACUCCUAGCGGCGAAGAGCGAGAGCCAGAAGCGCCAUCGUCAGCGGUCGAGAAAUCAGGCCUCAGAUCGCCGGGGGGCGCAGUUAGGCCGUGUCUGGCCGCCGGAGGCUGUCGCGCUCGUACAGCUCAUACUCUCUGCUAGCUUGGUGAGCUCCUCGUCUUCAUGAGUACCCCGACUUCCUCGCGUCUCACCCGAACUCCAGCGGAAGCUAACUGCCAUGGGCCUCACUAAAUUCAAAGUUAAAGCAACAUUUUUGAGGUUUUAUGCACACGCCCAAGCAAGAAGGUCCAACACCCAUUUUCAGUAAAAUCAAUACUAGCUGCUCAUGUCAGAAAAACAAGGGGAAAACACUGGAAAAAUAGUUGCAAUCAAGAUGAAUAAGGCUUUUGUAAAAGUGAAGGUGCUUGAGAGGGCACAUCAAGAUAGAAGCGCACCUCUCAGGUCCAUGGCCUCCAAAAUGGGGGCAACAGUUGUGGCAAUGGAGGAGAGGACAGAUGGAGAAGGGCAUGUCAAGGGGGGAGGUUUGGGAGUCUGCGACUGGGAAGGGGAAGGAGGAUUUGGUGCAUCGGCAUGAGCAGCAGUUACGAUUGUGACAGACUCGUCCCUGGGGGCCAUGUGCGUGAGGCGUUUCUUUCCUUUUUUGGUUUGCUAGCUAUAUCCGGGGAGAGGUCCACUACCAAUUUUGGGGUGUGUGCUCUGGACCGCUAGCCAGCCAACGCUUGCUGGCUAGUCGUGUCCAAUAGUAAAAAUUUCAUAAAAAGGAAAUUUCCUAAGGAGGAAUGAAUUAAUCAAACAGAAACUUAAACAAAAUCAAAAUAUGAACUUUUCUAUAAGAAUGAAUUAGUGGUUUUGGUAUUACCCAUUAAGAAGAGAGAAAAUCAAAAAAUAAAAUCAAAACAAUGGGAUUAUCUAAGGAAUAAUAAAUUAGUGACAUUGGUGUUACCCUUUAAUAAGAAAUAAAAUAAACUAAAAACUCAAACAAAAAUUGCACUUUUAAAAUAUAUGCAAGAAUAAACAUAUAAUAGCGAUGUCUUUGCAAAAAAAAUCCUAAGAAGGGAUGAGUUAGUGGCAUUGGUAUUGCCCAUAAAGAGGAAAGAAAAAUAUAACGGUAACUAAAACAAAAUUAAAAUAUAAUGGCCAAUCGUGUGAGUGCCUAGUGGGUUCUUCCUCAUAGGGUUUUGCGAGGGAGGAGGCAAGAUAGUGUUAUGACUGUGGUUAGGUAAGUGAUUAGAGUAGUUGCUUUAUAAUGUUUCUUUACCUUCAUAAACUCUCUCAUCUCGUGCUUGACACCGCUAAAUCACAUAGCCUCUUCUUUGACAAUGUUGCAUGCUGGCUUAGGUCUGAUGCAAGUCUUCAAGAAUACACAACAUUGUUCAUAGGACUAUCCUACGAUGUUUAAGACUCACCAUUUCUAUAAACAAUCUACUCCAUAGGACUAAUCCUAUGAUGCAGACCCUAGGUGGCUGCCUGAGACCUUGUGGGGGUGGGAUCGUCUUCUUUUCCAUUUUUAGCCUCUUAGGCACUUACAUCAUGUUUGUAUUCAGACCUACCAUGUUUCCUGCUAUGUAUGAAUGUUAUGUUGAGCCAUGAGGUUCUAGUUGUAAUAAAUUGGAUCUUGACUCAUCAAA
This is a long non-coding RNA of Triticum urartu, 1914 nucleotides long. RefSeq lists it as uncharacterized. The record is from RefSeq and is a predicted model, not a curated record. NCBI's taxonomy places the organism in Eukaryota, Viridiplantae, Streptophyta, Magnoliopsida, Poales, Poaceae.